Molecule: long non-coding RNA, 1292 nt
Organism: Falco peregrinus (peregrine falcon)
Lineage: Eukaryota; Metazoa; Chordata; Aves; Falconiformes; Falconidae
Exons: 3
Source: RefSeq, a predicted model, not a curated record
UUAAUUUCUUUAAAAUAGCUUCUGUCAAUUUGUGCAACAGAGAUGUACCCAAUUUUGGGUGAAACUGACCAAGGUUCCAAAGUUACAAGACGGAAGUCACACUGACACACUGGCAUAAUGCAAGCCUUAUUUCUUUAGGAAACCAGUCCAGAAGAAUUACAUAAAAAUAUGAACUACCACCUAUAACAACAAUGUUAUUUGAUACUGAAAUGUAUUCUGUGUUAGCCUGCACAUAGUAUUUCUGCUAUACAUGUACUCCACACACGUGUGUGCACAUACAAACACAUAAGUACAUAUGUAUUAAGCUUGAUUUCAAUUCUUCAGGUUUAUAUCCACUAUCUUAAAUCACUGUAGACUCUAUAAAUUAAAAGUUGAUUGUUUCUAUGCACACACAAAAAAGAUGUAUUUGAUACAUUCAUUGUAAAACAGAUUCCCAUCAGAAAAUGAAAAACACAAGAAACAUGAAGUAUAAAAAAACUAUUAUGUCCAGUACAGUAUGCCUUCAUACUUACACUCUGAUCAUGGUGGCUCUCUACAACUAUGUUCUUUUGCCUUGAUAAAUGUAGUCUUGCCCAACAUAAAGUCAUACAAAAUAUUACCAUGAAGAUACUUUUUUCUGAUUCAUGUCACCCUUCUACACUCUUCCAGUGCCUUCCUUAUCCCUUCACCAUCAAACAUGAACUACAUAUCUUCAUUUGUAUGACCUUUCAAAUACAAAACUAUAGCAUAUAUGUCAACUUUCACUUGCUACCAAGAUAUCAGCCUUAGCCACCUCUUUGCCAGGGCUAGCCUUACUUAUCUGUAGAGGGAUGAAGCUGGGUGAAUUAACAUUGAUAACAUACAGCUGUGGGCUGGCUUCAGGGGCAGGGGGUUGGCUGAUGUAGAUAAAAGUGCAGCUGUGGCUGCUUCUGUUAAGGGGUUGGGCGGCCAAUGAAGAAGCAGCGAGAACACUUUCCUUGGGUGAAGAGAAGGCAGCGGAGGGACUGACAUGAAGAGUAUGCUGGUAUGAGAUGAAAAAAUGGAAGAGAAAACCAGCCAGACCCAGUAGAGAAAGAAGAUAUGAAAAAACAGCUGAAGACACAUCCCAACAACCCUUUUCCUGCCUAACCAAGAUUUCUCCCUACACACCACCGAAAUGGACACGAUUAACAAAAAGCCUUGCUACUGAGUCUACUCUUAAGUGUGAUGUAAUUACAACCACAAAAACCGAAACGUACCUGAAGUCCUCAAAAGAUUUUAUUUUUUUAAAAAAAAUCUGCUUUCAAAUUAAUAAAAAGGAUGAGAUUUUUGAC